RNAcentral lists this long non-coding RNA (1593 nucleotides) under Sus scrofa (pig). RNAcentral's name for it is "lncRNA (ENSSSCG00070007165.1)". Lineage: Eukaryota; Metazoa; Chordata; Mammalia; Artiodactyla; Suidae. The record is from RNAcentral.
GUGAGACAUAUUAUCUAAUAAAAAUCAUGCAAUCUAGCUUGUUCACUUUGUAACGUAUAAUAACUGGAAGUUGAUCAAAGAAAACUACUUUCAUUUUCAUUACUACAUUGUUCCUAUUUUUAUGAACAAAAUUUAAAAUGUAUGAUAAAAAUCCAAUAUACGGUAAUUGAAACAUACAGUCUGACCUCACAUUGCUCUGAUAAAUCUGUUCAUUUCUGGCCAUUUUCAGUGUUGCUAUAGUGAACAGUGUUGACAAGGGGAUGAAAAAAAGCUUAUAAAUGGAAUUUUGAUCAUAGAUAAAGCUGAACAUAAACUAUCUCCCAACAUUUCUGCAUGUUGGGAGGCCCGGUUUGUGCCACAGAUGGCCAUCUCCCAAUAAUACAUAAAACAUUUCUUGUUGGAGCUCGGCACAUGUUGUUGAAUGCACAGGUCAUCUGAACAGAACAAUAAUUCAAUUCACUUAAUAAUGACCUCACUGGGAACAAACACAGACACACGAUGAUGCUGUUAGAAGAACAAAACCAUACUAGAGUUUUAAAAAUGAAAUUCUUAAAAAGUCGCCAUGCUCUUGUGAAAAUAGCACUUAAAUAUAUUCAGUGUUUAGCGACCAGGCAGGCUCACUGAGUUUAUUUUAGGCUCUUGAAUUUUACUGCAGUGUUGCUGCCAUGUUUUCUCCAUUUUCAGGCUGGUAGCUUUCCUGGAAAGGUCAGUGGUGCCCACUGAACCCUCUAUUGGCUUAUUGGCUGAGCUCAUUGAUGAAGAAGCCUUGAGUACAUCAUUUUUUCUUCUCAAAGAGCUGAGAUGGCAGUCCAUGAAGAAUGACUGCAGAAAGUUUCAGAAGGACACAUGGGAAUCAUUUAACCAGACCAAUAAAACCUGCUAUUUAUAUUACAAGCUAACCAUCACCUGGAAGGAAGAAAUGUUGGGCAUGGCACUAACUGAUGUGUAUAUUUACCGUGAAGUUUACCCCAGGUGAAAAGAGGAAACCAGCUGUGUGAAUGGAAUUUGGAGAAAGGGCACAACCAUCAGACGAAGUGGGAGGAAGAAACAUUAACUUCAACAGCUGUUUCUUGACCCCGGCUGUCAGUCUUCCCAAGAAUAAAUUUUGGAGAGUCCUAUUUGAAACAAAGAGGGAGUUUUGGGGGAGAGAAAAGUUGGUUGGUUCCAGGGCGACCGCCCAAAGGAGCUGGGAACAAGAUGUUGGCAGUUACCACGCAGCCUGCCUGCCUCUGCCGGGUGCAGAGAUGGAGCAAAGUAACUUGAAAGCUCCCCUCUCGGCGCCCUGUGCCUGCAGCUUCCCCCCCUAACGCGCGCCCAGAUCCAGCGCCGGUGGUAAGAGCCGUAGCUCGACUACAGUAAUUCCCCAGCUCGGGCGGCUUGAAACUGCUCGGGCUGAAUAGCAUUUGCUGUUCCGUCCUGUGGCCGCCUCCCGCCGCCGCUGCCGCGCUCCCUGCAAAGCAGCUCUCAUUAUCCCGGAAGUUGUGCUGACACAGUCUCGCUGCCACCAGAAGUUUGUCAACAUCAAACUUCUCCUGUGUGGGGUACGUUCACCUUCCACGAGUAUUUAAUCGAGCCAACAAGCAAACAAACAAA